GUGUUUGUUUUGGCAGCACAUAUACUAAAAUUGGAAUGAUACAGAAAAGAUUAGCAUGGCUCCUGCACAAGGAUGACAUGCAAAUUCGUGAAGCGUUCCAUUUUUUU
RNAcentral lists this small nuclear RNA (107 nucleotides) under Echinops telfairi (small Madagascar hedgehog). Lineage: Eukaryota; Metazoa; Chordata; Mammalia; Afrosoricida; Tenrecidae. The record is from RNAcentral.